This 253-nucleotide ribosomal RNA is filed under the name uncultured bacterium. RNAcentral's name for it is "partial 16S ribosomal RNA". It matches the Rfam family "Bacterial small subunit ribosomal RNA", at positions 524 to 776 of the family's 1533-position model. The record is from RNAcentral. RNAcentral also lists the same sequence under 1 other name.
UACGAAGGGGGCUAGCGUUGUUCGGAAUUACUGGGCGUAAAGCGCACGUAGGCGGAUUGGUCAGUUAGGGGUGAAAUCCCAGGGCUCAACCCUGGAACUGCCUUUAAUACUGCCGGUCUAGAGUUCGAGAGAGGUGAGUGGAAUUCCGAGUGUAGAGGUGAAAUUCGUAGAUAUUCGGAGGAACACCAGUGGCGAAGGCGGCUCACUGGCUCGAUACUGACGCUGAGGUGCGAAAGCGUGGGGAGCAAACAGG